This 260-nucleotide unclassified non-coding RNA is filed under the name Hevea brasiliensis (rubber tree). Lineage: Eukaryota; Viridiplantae; Streptophyta; Magnoliopsida; Malpighiales; Euphorbiaceae. The record is from RNAcentral.
CCCCGAUUCAUUCCCUCAUUGUUACUAUCAUCUACCAGUGUCAAAUCCUCAACAUUCUCGACUCCAUAAUGUUUUAGCUUCUCUUUCAAAGCUUCUUUUGUCCAAGUCUUGCAAAUAUUACCCAAGAAAAGAGUGUCGCUGUCUUGACUUGGAGUAACACCACAUUGUUUCCCAUUGAUCACUGGAUUUUUUAGCUCUGUAACAGCUCUUUUUGCUUGUUCCACGGUUGCAAAUCGCAAGAAGGCAAAUCCUUUGUUCUU